RNAcentral lists this ribosomal RNA (253 nucleotides) under uncultured bacterium. RNAcentral's name for it is "partial 16S ribosomal RNA". It matches the Rfam family "Bacterial small subunit ribosomal RNA", at positions 524 to 776 of the family's 1533-position model. The record is from RNAcentral.
UACGUAGGGGGCAAGCGUUAUCCGGAUUUACUGGGUGUAAAGGGUGCGUAGGUGGCAAGGCAAGUCAGAUGUGAAAGCCCGGGGCUCAACCCCGGUACUGCAUUUGAAACUGUCUGGCUGGAGUGCAGGAGAGGUAAGUGGAAUUCCUAGUGUAGCGGUGAAAUGCGUAGAUAUUAGGAGGAACACCAGUGGCGAAGGCGGCUUACUGGACUGUAACUGACACUGAGGCACGAAAGCGUGGGGAGCAAACAGG